AAAGGUAUAGCUCAGUCAUAGAGUAUGUGUUUAACAUGCACAAGGUCCUGGGUUCAAUCCCCAGUACCUCCA
Molecule: transfer RNA, 72 nt
Filed under: Camelus bactrianus (Bactrian camel)
Lineage: Eukaryota; Metazoa; Chordata; Mammalia; Artiodactyla; Camelidae
Also listed under: 2 other names
Rfam family: tRNA
About the family: Transfer RNA (tRNA) molecules are approximately 80 nucleotides in length.
Source: Rfam by way of RNAcentral